Small nuclear RNA from Rattus norvegicus (Norway rat), 172 nucleotides. Ensembl annotates it as U4 spliceosomal RNA. The record is from Ensembl. Lineage: Eukaryota; Metazoa; Chordata; Mammalia; Rodentia; Muridae.
AGCUUUGAGUGGCAGUAUCGUAGCCAAUGAGGUUUAUCCGAGGCGCGAUUAUUGCUAAUUGAAAGGAGUGGGCCACCACUGCCUGGCUGUGGUGAAAAAUGUUUAAAAGUCAGCUGGUAAAAGGAACAAAAAUCCUAGAAAUAGAAAAUGUAAUUUAAAACCAUUUCAAUAG